Molecule: ribosomal RNA, 497 nt
Filed under: uncultured bacterium
Lineage: Bacteria
Description: partial 16S ribosomal RNA
Rfam family: Bacterial small subunit ribosomal RNA
Source: RNAcentral
GAUGAACGCUGGCGGCGUGCCUAAUACAUGCAAGUCGAGCGAACGGACGAGAAGCUUGCUUCUCUGAUGUUAUCGGCGGACGGGUGAGUAACACGUGGAUAACCUACCUAUAAGACUGGGAUAACUUCGGGAAACCGGAGCUAAUACCGGAUAAUAUUUUGAACCGCAUGGUUCAAAAGUGAAAGACGGUCUUGCUGUCACUUAUAGAUGGAUCCGCGCUGCAUUAGCUAGUUGGUAAGGUAACGGCUUACCAAGGCAACGAUGCAUAGCCGACCUGAGAGGGUGAUCGGCCAAACUGGAACUGAGACACGGUCCAGACUCCUACGGGAGGCAGCAGUAGGGAAUCUUCCGCAAUGGGCGAAAGCCUGACGGAGCAACGCCGCGUGAGUGAUGAAGGUCUUCGGAUCGUAAAACUCUGUUAUUAGGGAAGAACAUAUGUGUAAGUAACUGUGCACAUCUUGACGGUACCUAAUCAGAAAGCCACGGCUAACUACGUG